GACGAACGCUGGCGGCGUGCCUAAUACAUGCAAGUCGAACGCAUUUUCUUUCACCGUAGCUUGCUACACCGAAAGAAAAUGAGUGGCGAACGGGUGAGUAACACGUGGGUAACCUGCCCAUCAGCGGGGGAUAACACUUGGAAACAGGUGCUAAUACCGCAUAAUUCCAUUUACCGCAUGGUAAAUGGAUGAAAGGCGCUUUUGCGUCACUGAUGGAUGGACCCGCGGUGCAUUAGCUAGUUGGUGGGGUAACGGCCUACCAAGGCUGCGAUGCAUAGCCGACCUGGGAGGGUGAUCGGCCACACUGGGACUGAGACACGGCCCAGACUCCUACGGGAGGCAGCAGUAGGGAAUCUUCGGCAAUGGACGCAAGUCUGACCGAGCAACGCCGCGUGAGUGAAGAAGGUUUUCGGAUCGUAAAACUCUGUUGUUAGAGAAGAACAAGGAUGAGAGUGGAAAGUUCAUCCCUUGACGGUAUCUAACCAGAAAGCCACGGCUAACUACGUG
RNAcentral lists this ribosomal RNA (507 nucleotides) under uncultured bacterium. RNAcentral's name for it is "partial 16S ribosomal RNA". It matches the Rfam family "Bacterial small subunit ribosomal RNA", at positions 28 to 507 of the family's 1533-position model. The record is from RNAcentral.